RNAcentral lists this non-coding RNA (31 nucleotides) under Rattus norvegicus (Norway rat). Lineage: Eukaryota; Metazoa; Chordata; Mammalia; Rodentia; Muridae. The record is from RNAcentral.
UAUGGUCUAGUAGCUCUCUGAGGCUUGCUCC